GCAAACCUUUCAUUGGAGAACAGUCUUCCCCCACACCAUCCCAUAGAAAUACUGUUCACUAUAUCUGGUUCAGGAGGACUGACUCUCCCAACUCCUUUCUCCAGGAGUGGAUACAUGAUCCAGGACUGGCCAGAAUUCUACAUCAAGCAGCCCGUAGGCACGGAGGAGAAUACAAAUUAGAGGAUCAGCCAGCAAACUUGAUGGGUGAUGAGAACUGUUCAAGACAACCCUGAAGAUGUUGCUUAUUUGAUAAGGUUGCUGGUGCUGCUGCUACUGAAGAUAGAACAACAGUUAAGCUUUCUGUGUAUGUGUGUGUUUUCCAUCUGUUUUUCUUUGUAAUCAGUCGGUAUAAAAGUGAGCAGUGAAGAAUCGGGGGGAAAUAAAUGUACUUUUUAAACAUGUUAAAUUUGGAAAAUAUCUAGAGCUCAGAAGAAAAGUGUAAACUUAAGUUAGAGAUUUGAGAGUUAGUGAAGCUCUAAGAGGGGCAGAGUGUAAAGGUGAGGGCAACAAGUAUAUGUGCACACACAAUCACACACAUACACCGGUGGCAGGCAAAGAAAGAUUAAAUCCCUUCUUAGCAAAACUUCAAUUCUGAGAAGAUUUUUCCUAUCUGAAUUUGUUGAACAAUAUUAGAGAUUUUUUUUUUCUAACCACUUCAUAAAUAAUAAAACUGAGCAACAGAGAGGAUGGGUGGCUGACUUGUUAAGGAACUCCUAAUUAGUGCUAAAGAGUCUUAAAACCUAGGUUUCUGGGCUCCCAAUUCCAGGUUCCUUGGAAGUCAAGAGAAGACAAAAACAUACGAUCAUUUACUUUAUCCCUAACUUCACUUGAAUAAAACAUUCCAUAAGAUUAAG
RNAcentral lists this long non-coding RNA (854 nucleotides) under Homo sapiens (human). RNAcentral's name for it is "non-protein coding POC1B-AS1:43". Lineage: Eukaryota; Metazoa; Chordata; Mammalia; Primates; Hominidae. The record is from RNAcentral.